RNAcentral lists this ribosomal RNA (533 nucleotides) under uncultured bacterium. Its description in RNAcentral is "partial 16S ribosomal RNA". It matches the Rfam family "Bacterial small subunit ribosomal RNA", at positions 355 to 902 of the family's 1533-position model. The record is from RNAcentral.
UGGGGAAUAUUGCACAAUGGGCGAAAGCCUGAUGCAGCAACGCCGCGUGAGUGAUGAAGGCCUUCGGGUUGUAAAGCUCUGUCUUUUGGGACGAUAAUGACGGUACCAAAGGAGGAAGCCACGGCUAACUACGUGCCAGCAGCCGCGGUAAUACGUAGGUGGCAAGCGUUGUCCGGAUUUACUGGGCGUAAAGGAUGCGUAGGCGGAUUUUUAAGUGAGAUGUGAAAUACCCGGGCUUAACUUGGGUGCUGCAUUUCAAACUGGGAAUCUAGAGUGCGGGAGAGGAGAAUGGAAUUCCUAGUGUAGCGGUGAAAGUGCGUAGAGAUUAGGAAGAACACCAGUGGCGAAGGCGAUUCUCUGGACCGUAACUGACGCUGAGGCAUGAAAGCGUGGGUAGCAAACAGGAUUAGAUACCCUGGUAGUCCACGCCGUAAACGAUGAGUACUAGGUGUAGGAGGUAUCGACCCCUUCUGUGCCGCAGUUAACACAAUCAAGUACUCCGCCUGGGAAGUACGAUCGCAAGAUUAAAACUU